This 314-nucleotide long non-coding RNA is filed under the name Gossypium barbadense (sea-island cotton). Its description in RNAcentral is "long non-coding RNA (GBAR_LNC010656)". Lineage: Eukaryota; Viridiplantae; Streptophyta; Magnoliopsida; Malvales; Malvaceae. The record is from RNAcentral.
GCCUUCUUCACUUCCAAUGCCACCGCUCAGGCUUCAAGGAAGUCCUCCCCAAGAGUGACCAAUGAGGCUGUUCAAAAGGCUGUAAGUGUUUUGAUAUAUUAAAAUUCCAUUUUUCUUCUUUCAAACAACCGGUAAUCGUUUCCAUCAUUGAAAUCUUUAUUUGCUUACCAUGUUUUACUGUACUUGCAUUCUCAGGCUGCUGCUUUGAAGGGCUCUGACCACCGCCGUGCAACAAACGUUAGUGCUAGGCUGGAUGCCCAGCAGAAAAAGCUUAAUCUGCCAGUCCUCCCCACCACAACCAUUGGAUCCUUCCC